CGUCGACCUGCAUCUAGUGCAUCUAGUUCACCAUCAGCCUCUCCUCAUCCCCGCGUAGCCGCCAAUCUCCCUUGCCGCCGACGAGAUUCCCCCGGCGAGCUGCUCGCCAGCGCCACGUCAUCGGUAAAAAAAAAAUCGAUCAGUCCUAAUCAUCCUCUAAACCGUUUCAAAUGUGCCAGAUCAGCUCUAAUACCGCCGUGUGGUGUGAUUUAUCUGGUAUUAAAGAUUUUAGGUGUAAAUUAGACGGUUUUGAACUUCAGUGGGUUAUGCGUUCGGCAACGUAUAUUUGAGGGUGAAAUAUGGACUUCUUUCCUAAAGCAAA
This 322-nucleotide long non-coding RNA is filed under the name Brachypodium distachyon (stiff brome). RNAcentral's name for it is "long non-coding RNA (BDIS_LNC000532)". The record is from RNAcentral. Lineage: Eukaryota; Viridiplantae; Streptophyta; Magnoliopsida; Poales; Poaceae.